AUGAAGAUCAAUGUUGAUGGCGCACUAGCAAGGAACAUACGUGCUGGGGUGGUUGCUGCCAUAUGUCGAGAUUCAAACGGGAACUUUCUUGGCUCGUCAGCGGUUGUGUUUGGGGGCACCCGGGACCCAAUGAUCCUGAAAACAUACACAUGUCGGGAGGCCCUUUCUCUUGCAGAAGACCUGAACGAGCAUGAUAUUCUGAUGGCUUCAGAUUGCCAAGGGGUGGUGCAUGAUAUCAAUAAAGGGACAGGAGGUCCCAAUGCAGCUGUAAUACAUGAAAUAAUAGAUCGUAGAGCUAGUUUUUCUUCAUGCUCGUUUGUGUUUGAGCGAAGGAACUUUAACUUCGAGGCUCAUAAUCUCGCUAAAUUUGCAUGUAAUUUAGGUAUAGGUAGGCAUGUUUGA
Molecule: ribosomal RNA, 402 nt
Filed under: Triticum aestivum (bread wheat)
Lineage: Eukaryota; Viridiplantae; Streptophyta; Magnoliopsida; Poales; Poaceae
Description: partial small subunit ribosomal RNA
Source: RNAcentral